This 743-nucleotide ribosomal RNA is filed under the name uncultured bacterium. RNAcentral's name for it is "bacterial SSU rRNA". It matches the Rfam family "Bacterial small subunit ribosomal RNA", at positions 94 to 823 of the family's 1533-position model. The record is from RNAcentral.
AGCGGCGGAUGGGUGAGUAACACGUGGGGAACCUGCCCCUAAGUCUGGGAUACCAUUUGGAAACAGGUGCUAAUACCGGAUAAUAAAGCAGAUCGCAUGAUCAGCUUUUGAAAGGCGGCGUAAGCUGUCGCUAAGGGAUGGCCCCGCGGUGCAUUAGCUAGUUGGUAAGGUAACGGCUUACCAAGGCGACGAUGCAUAGCCGAGUUGAGAGACUGAUCGGCCACAUUGGGACUGAGACACGGCCCAAACUCCUACGGGAGGCAGCAGUAGGGAAUCUUCCACAAUGGACGCAGGUCUGAUGGAGCAACGCCGCGUGAGUGAAGAAGGUUUUCGGAUCGUAAAGCUCUGUUGUUGGUGAAGAAGGAUAGAGGUAGUAACUGGCCUUUAUUUGACGGUAAUCAACCAGAAAGUCACGGCUAACUACGUGCCAGCAGCCGCGGUAAUACGUAGGUGACAAGCGUUGUCCGGAUUUAUUGGGCGUAAAGCGAGCGCAGGCGGAAAAAUAAGUCUAAUGUGAAAGCCCUCGGCUUAACCGAGGAACUGCAUCGGAAACUGUUUUUCUUGAGUGCAGAAGAGGAGAGUGGAACUCCAUGUGUAGCGGUGGAAUGCGUAGAUAUAUGGAAGAACACCAGUGGCGAAGGCGGCUCUCUGGUCUGCAACUGACGCUGAGGCUCGAAAGCAUGGGUAGCGAACAGGAUUAGAUACCCUGGUAGUCCAUGCCGUAAACGAUGAGUGCUAAGUGU